UAGGGAAUAUUGGUAAUGGGCGAAAGCCUGAACCAGCAACGCCGCGUGUGCGAUGAAGGCCUUCGGGUUGUAAAGCACUUUUGACCGGGACGAGGAAGGACGGUACCGGUGGAAUAAGCCUCGGCUAACUACGUGCCAGCAGCCGCGGUAAAACGUAGGAGGCGAGCGUUAUCCGGAUCUACUGGGUGUAAAGCGCGUGCAGGCGGUUAGCUAAGUUGGGUGUGAAAGCUCCUGGCUCAACUGGGAGAGGUCGCUUAAGACUGGCUGACUCGAGGAUGGUAGGGGAAGGUGGAAGUCCGGGUGUAGUGGUGAAAUGCGUAGAUAUCCGGAGGAACACCAGUGGCGAAGGCGGCCUUCUGGACCAUCACUGACGCUCAGACGCGAAAGCUAGGGUAGCA
Molecule: ribosomal RNA, 398 nt
Filed under: uncultured bacterium
Lineage: Bacteria
Description: bacterial SSU rRNA
Rfam family: Bacterial small subunit ribosomal RNA
Source: RNAcentral